CUUUGGUUGGGUAGAACUACC
RNAcentral lists this microRNA (21 nucleotides) under Brachypodium distachyon (stiff brome). RNAcentral describes it as "bdi-miR7777-5p.1". Lineage: Eukaryota; Viridiplantae; Streptophyta; Magnoliopsida; Poales; Poaceae. The record is from miRBase by way of RNAcentral.